GGGGAUGUACUGGCUUCGACAGGGCAAUUAGAGCGUAACUGAAGCCUGCUCGGUUAGAGCAAAAAACCAAGUGCUACUAACAACGUAGUUCCCUUCGCUCGCGCCCGCGCUACUGUCGCGGCCUGAGUAAGGCGGGGUUGGUAGAUAACCUUGUAAACCAAAACUACCCAAAAGGCCCCUUCGGGGGCCUUUUUGCUGC
Molecule: transfer-messenger RNA, 199 nt
Filed under: Gloeobacter violaceus PCC 7421
Lineage: Bacteria; Bacillati; Cyanobacteriota; Cyanophyceae; Gloeobacterales; Gloeobacteraceae
Description: transfer-messenger RNA Gloeo_viola_7421
Rfam family: Cyanobacteria transfer-messenger RNA
About the family: Bacterial tmRNA, also known as 10Sa RNA or SsrA, is named for its dual tRNA and mRNA-like properties.
Source: RNAcentral